This 1173-nucleotide ribosomal RNA is filed under the name uncultured soil eukaryote. RNAcentral describes it as "SSU rRNA". It matches the Rfam family "Eukaryotic small subunit ribosomal RNA", at positions 36 to 952 of the family's 1831-position model. The record is from RNAcentral.
UUCAAGGACUAAGCCAUGCAAGUCUAAGAAUUAAGUGUGUUAGGCCAAGUCUGCGUACGGCUCAUUAAAUCAGCUCUAAUCUACCCGCUGAAGUUGGGGCUUGCCCUAACCAGCCGGAUAACCUCCAGAAACUAGAGGCUAAUACGUGUAUGAAACACGCCUUUCUCUAUUCAAACGGUGAAGGGAAACCGGACCCGUGGAGAAGGUGUGCAGUUGGCCGGCACCAAAAAUCAACCCGCGGUGAAUGCGGAGUGGGUUUAUCGAUGAAACAGGCCAACCAUAGGGAUAGCGCAUGGCUUCGGCCGGCGCAGGAGCGGACGAAGAUCUGCCCUAUCAUGCUACGAUGGUAGUGUAGUGGACUACCAUGGCUAUCACGGGUAACGGAGGAUCAGGGUUCGAUUCCGGAGAGGGAGCCUGAGAGACGGCUACCACGACUAAGGUCGGCAGCAGGCGCGCAAAUUGCCCAAUACCAAUACUGGUGAGGCAGCGACGAAAAAUAGCAGCUCUGCUUGUCAACUACAUGUGGAGCUUGCAAUGGAUGAUAUUCAAACCCAUCAAUGAGUAUCAAUUGGAGGGCAAGUCUGGUGCCAGCAGCCGCGGUAAUUCCAGCUCCAAUAGCGUAUGCUAAUGCUGUUGCCGUUAAAAAGCUCGUAGUUGGAUUCACAGGAGAGGUUGCGCGAGGCCCAGCGGAGUGCAGCGUUUCCCGGGGGUCAUUGUAUUUCUCGGCGGGCCUGUACUCACCGUUUUGGGAUCCAACCUCGCGCGUACGGCCUCUUGUCUGUUCGUACGUGGAACUGAUUCGCCUGCGGAAGCCUCCUUCACUGGUGGUGGAAGCAACCUUUCGCCCAACACACGGGCAUACGGCGCGUCCACGGAUGUUACUGUGAACAAAACAGCGCGUUCAAGGCAACCGUGAAUUUUUCUGGUUGAAUGCUCCAGCAUGGGAUAACAAGGCAUGGACCAAAGGGCCCAUCGUUUUGUUGGUUUUCCAGACCCUUCUGGGCAAUGCAGAGCUGGAAGCGUAACAGAAGGCUGCGUGUUGGGUUCGUCCCAUCGCGUGACCCUCUGUUUUCCAGUCUCUACCCCGGAUCAAUAGGAGCCAUCGGGGAGAUACGUAUUGCUGCGCUAGUGGUGAAAUACUUAGACCGCAGCAAGACGAACAACUGCGAAAGC